This 637-nucleotide ribosomal RNA is filed under the name uncultured bacterium. RNAcentral's name for it is "bacterial SSU rRNA". It matches the Rfam family "Bacterial small subunit ribosomal RNA", at positions 607 to 1244 of the family's 1533-position model. The record is from RNAcentral.
GCUCAACCGGGGAGGGUCAUUGGAAACUGGGGAACUUGAGUGCAGAAGAGGAGAGUGGAAUUCCACGUGUAGCGGUGAAAUGCGUAGAGAUGUGGAGGAACACCAGUGGCGAAGGCGACUCUCUGGUCUGCAACUGACGCUGAGGCGCGAAAGCGUGGGGAGCGAACAGGAUUAGAUACCCUGGUAGUCCACGCCGUAAACGAUGAGUGCUAAGUGUUAGAGGGUUUCCGCCCUUUAGUGCUGCAGCAAACGCAUUAAGCACUCCGCCUGGGGAGUACGGUCGCAAGACUGAAACUCAAAGGAAUUGACGGGGGCCCGCACAAGCGGUGGAGCAUGUGGUGUAAUUCGAAGCAACGCGAAGAACCUUACCAGGUCUUGACAUCCUUUGACAACCCUAGAGAUAGGGCUUCCCCUUCGGGGGCAGAGUGACAGGUGGUGCAUGGUUGUCGUCAGCUCGUGUCGUGAGAUGUUGGGUUAAGUCCCGCAACGAGCGCAACCCUUGAUCUUAGUUGCCAGCAUUCAGUUGGGCACUCUAAGGUGACUGCCGGUGACAAACCGGAGGAAGGUGGGGAUGACGUCAAAUCAUCAUGCCCCUUAUGACCUGGGCUACACACGUGCUACAAUGGGCAGAACAAAG